CUCGUACCGUGAGUAAUAGUGCA
This 23-nucleotide microRNA is filed under the name Danio rerio (zebrafish). Its description in RNAcentral is "Dre-Mir-126-P2b-v3_3p (mature (guide))". Lineage: Eukaryota; Metazoa; Chordata; Actinopteri; Cypriniformes; Danionidae. The record is from RNAcentral.